CUCAUCACAUGUAUUAUCUCAUCAUCCUAGUACAAAAUUAAUUCCAAAACCAUUACAAAUAAUUCGAAAAUUCAAAAAUCUUUCAAAUAAAUGAAAAUUUAAUUCAAAAAAAUCAACAAUCAAAUCCUUUAAAAUCAGUACAAAAUCAAAUCAAAAAAUCAAAUUCUUUCAAAUUAAUUAGAAAACGAAAAAUCAAUUCAUGUCUAAAACCAGAGUCAUGUAAUAAAAUAAAAAUAAAAAAAAAAAAAACAUAAGAAAAAACACAACUUCAAGGAUCAAACAUGCAUACAAAGUUACCUGAAGAUACAGAAACGGGUCAGCAACAAAAUUACUGGGGUACCCAGAACCCGUAACCGACCCACACGUCACAAUCGGGUUAGCCACAGGCCAUGCGGCACUCGUAUUCUCCCAAACAUUCAUCUCUUCAAUCGGUUUAAGCGAAAACGGCGAAUCACCAUAGAAAACUCCGAUAGCCCACGAACCUUCACUGUCAGGUUGACAACCCACUGAACCGCUUUCGUAGUUAUUCCCGUUGUACAUCAUGUUGGUGUACAACAAACCAAUUGAACUGAACAACAUAAAUGAAACACACAGAAAUGAGAUAGUAGAUGAAGCGCCGCCAUUAUCGUGCACGCGCCACCACCGUGUACGGUGGGUUUUCUCGGUGGGUCCGCCCGUAACAACCACGGUCUGGCCGGAAACCAUAUCGCUGGAAAAUAAAGUUUUUGAGAAAAGGUGACGGAAAACGAUCACUUAAGUUUUAACUGGUGGAACAUCAAACGGAGUAGUUUGUUGUGUGAAUUGAGGUUUUGGAUUGUGGAGAAUGGAAUUAUUAUAAUUAUUAUAAUUAUUGAUUUUAGAAGGUGGUUUUGAUUUUGUGUUUGAAAGUUGAAACCAGAGAAAAGU
RNAcentral lists this long non-coding RNA (906 nucleotides) under Helianthus annuus (common sunflower). RNAcentral describes it as "hypothetical non coding rna". Lineage: Eukaryota; Viridiplantae; Streptophyta; Magnoliopsida; Asterales; Asteraceae. The record is from RNAcentral.